Molecule: ribosomal RNA, 497 nt
Filed under: uncultured bacterium
Lineage: Bacteria
Description: partial 16S ribosomal RNA
Rfam family: Bacterial small subunit ribosomal RNA
Source: RNAcentral
GAUGAACGCUGGCGGCGUGCCUAAUACAUGCAAGUCGAGCGAACAGACGAGGAGCUUGCUCCUCUAACGUUAGCGGCGGACGGGUGAGUAACACGUGGAUAACCUACCUAUAAGACUGGGAUAACUUCGGGAAACCGGAGCUAAUACCGGAUAAUAUAUUGAACCGCAUGGUUCAAUAGUGAAAGACGGUUUUGCUGUCACUUAUAGAUGGAUCCGCGCCGCAUUAGCUAGUUGGUAAGGUAACAGCUUACCAAGGCAACGAUGCGUAGCCGACCUGAGAGGGUGAUCGGCCACACUGGAACUGAGACACGGUCCAGACUCCUACGGGAGGCAGCAGGAGGGAAUCUUCCGCAAUGGGCGAAAGCCUGACGGAGCAACGCCGCGUGAGUGAUGAAGGUCUUCGGAUCGUAAAACUCUGUUAUUAGGGAAGAACAAAUGUGUUAGUAACUAUGCACGUCUUGACGGUACCUAAUCAGAAAGCCACGGCUAACUACGUG